UUUUGGACAAUGGGCGCAAGCCUGAUCCAGCCAUUCCGCGUGAGCGAAGAAGGCCUUCGGGUUGUAAAGCUCUUUCGCAAGGGAAGAAAGAUUACUCUCUAAUAUAGAGUGAUUAUGACGGUACCUUGAUAAGAAGCACCGGCUAACUACGUGCCAGCAGCCGCGGUAAUACGUAGGGUGCGAGCGUUAAUCGGAAUUACUGGGCGUAAAGCGUGCGCAGGCGGUUUUGUAAGUCAGAUGUGAAAUCCCCGAGCUCAACUUGGGAACUGCGUUUGAAACUACAAGACUAGAAUAGGUCAGAGGGGGGUAGAAUUCCACGUGUAGCAGUGAAAUGCGUAGAGAUGUGGAGGAAUAUCAAUGGCGAAGGCAGCCCCCUGGGAUCAUAUUGACGCUCAUGCACGAAA
RNAcentral lists this ribosomal RNA (404 nucleotides) under uncultured bacterium. RNAcentral describes it as "bacterial SSU rRNA". It matches the Rfam family "Bacterial small subunit ribosomal RNA", at positions 362 to 758 of the family's 1533-position model. The record is from RNAcentral.